CCCCGAGUGGGGCCAGCCCUGCCUGAAAAGGCCAUCAUCACAGAGACAGGAGCAGGGCUGGCAGAGAGAUGUUGACAAGGGCUUGGAGGUGGGAGGUGGGUGCUGCCGCCGGGACCAGUGACGGCCAGUGAGGACCACUCUCUCUGCACGUGUCCUCUGGCCCUGUGCAUGGAGCCCGGCCCACCCACUGGGAGCGGAAGUGAUUGCAUUGUUCUCAGAUCUGGUCCGUAAACAGUCUCCAGAAGGAUCCUCUACGUUCUCCUCCCUCUACCCCCAGCAGCUUCAGGAGUGCAGAGCCACAAGGCUGCAGGAGCCUGGGUCCCCAGUCGCCUGGAGGAGACCCUGCCCACACCAUACUCAGACCACCCUCCCAGAAUGGUGACUGUGCAGAGAUGCACGCAUGUCGGCUGCACCCCGCCAUCUUGGGGCACGGAAGUCCUGACCCCACAACCUCAGAAUGGGCCUGUCUAGAGGUGGAUCUUUAAGGAGGUACCAAGUUAAGAUGGAAUCAUUAGGAUGACCCUGAGCCCAUCCAACUGGUGUUUCUAUAAGCGGAGAUCAGAGCACAGACGCUGACAAGGCAACAGCCACGUGAGGACACAGGGAGAUGGCGGGGUCUGCAAGCCCAGGAAAGAGGCCUCAGGAGGAACCCGCCCCGCGGCACCUUGACCUCGGACUCUCUCUCUCACGCUGUGGUACUUUCUGACAGCAGUCCAAGAAGACUGAACUCGUCACCUCCCGCUCCGUUUCCCACCACCUCUGGCCUGCCUGGCCUGUUUCCUCCAGCCUCCCACCCCUCCUUGUCAGCCAGUUGAAAAUGCCCCUUUUCCCAGGACUGGUCUCUCCAUGGGCACCCCUGACCUCCAAAGGGAGUCCCACUGUGCCUCGCUUUGGGGGUAAUCAAGAUUGCCCCUCAGCCUCUCAGGCCCCUCCCUGCUCUUGGGUGCUGGAUGCCCUGGGGACCCUUCAUCAAGUCGCCCUGCUGUGGCUCUAGCUGGGCAUGAACAGGUGCUGUCUCCAGAGCCCGAGGUCCUCAGAGGGGCCAGGCCCUCUGUCGUGGGAACAAGGACCCUAAGGCCCGGGAGGGGAGUGGCACACGGAGAACAGGCUGGGGACGUGGGCGUGAGCAGCUGGGCAUGAGUCCUGCCCGCUUUGUCCCCUGGGGAGCCUGGCCUGGGAAGCAUUAGCUUGGCCAGAGUCUCCCUGAUGGGAUUGGAAGCCCAGCCCUGCCUGGGAAGGCGCCUGUGGGCUGAUGGGGAUGGGGUGGCCGGGGCCCUGGGCUUCCAGGAUGCGUGAAGCUCCUGCCCACACAGGGAGUCAGGUUCCUGUCCUGUGCACCUGGAU
RNAcentral lists this long non-coding RNA (1344 nucleotides) under Pan troglodytes (chimpanzee). Its description in RNAcentral is "long non-coding RNA NONPTRT002504". The record is from RNAcentral. Lineage: Eukaryota; Metazoa; Chordata; Mammalia; Primates; Hominidae.